RNAcentral lists this ribosomal RNA (301 nucleotides) under uncultured bacterium. RNAcentral describes it as "partial 16S ribosomal RNA". It matches the Rfam family "Bacterial small subunit ribosomal RNA", at positions 509 to 807 of the family's 1533-position model. The record is from RNAcentral.
CAGCCGCCGCGGUAAUACAGAGGGUGCGAGCGUUAAUCGGAUUUACUGGGCGUAAAGCGUGUGUAGGUUGUUGUUCAAGUCAGUUGUGAAAUCCCUGGGCUCAACCUGGGAACUGCUUCUGAGACUGAACGACUAGAGUACGGUAGAGGGUGGUGGAAUUCCACGUGUAGCAGUGAAAUGCAUAGAUAUGACAUAGAACACCAAUUGCGAAGGCAGCUGGCUACACAACUAUUGACGCUGAGGCACGAAAGCGUGGGGAUCAAACAGGAUUAGAUACCCCCGUAGUCCCUGUCUCUUAUAC